GGGUAUAUAGCUCCGUGCUUAGAGCAGCUAACUGCAGAUCAGCAGGUCCCUGGUUCACAACCAGGCGUGCCCU
Molecule: transfer RNA, 73 nt
Filed under: Symbiodinium microadriaticum
Lineage: Eukaryota; Dinophyceae; Suessiales; Symbiodiniaceae
Rfam family: tRNA
About the family: Transfer RNA (tRNA) molecules are approximately 80 nucleotides in length. Their secondary structure includes four short double-helical elements and three loops (D, anti-codon, and T loops).
Source: Rfam by way of RNAcentral